UACACACCGCCCGUCACACCAUGGGAGUGGGUUCCACCAGAAGUAGGUAGCCUAACCGCAAGGAGGCGCUUACCACGGUGAGAUCAUGACUGGGGUG
RNAcentral lists this ribosomal RNA (97 nucleotides) under uncultured bacterium. RNAcentral describes it as "partial 16S ribosomal RNA". It matches the Rfam family "Bacterial small subunit ribosomal RNA", at positions 1384 to 1482 of the family's 1533-position model. The record is from RNAcentral.